Molecule: ribosomal RNA, 301 nt
Filed under: uncultured bacterium
Lineage: Bacteria
Description: partial 16S ribosomal RNA
Rfam family: Bacterial small subunit ribosomal RNA
Source: RNAcentral
CAGUCGCCACGGUAAUACAGAGGGUGCAAGCGUUAAUCGGAAUUACUGGGCGUAAAGUGCGCGUAGGUGGUUUGUUAAGUUGGAUGUGAAAUCCCCGGGCUCAACCUGGGAACUGCAUCCAAAACUGGCAAGCUAGAGUAUGGUAGAGGGUGGUGGAAUUUCCUGUGUAGCGGUGAAAUGCGUAGAUAUAGGAAGGAACACCAGUGGCGAAGGCGACCACCUGGACUGAUACUGACACUGAGGUGCGAAAGCGUGGGGAGCAAACAGGAUUAGAUACCCCGGUAGUCCCUGUCUCUUAUAA